GGAAGCGUCUGGAAAGGCGUGCGAUACAGGGUGACAGCCCCGUACACAAAAAUGCACAUACUGUGAGCUCGAUGAGUAGGGCGGGACACGUGGUAUCCUGUCUGAAUAUGGGGGGACCAUCCUCCAAGGCUAAAUACUCCUGACUGACCGAUAGUGAACCAGUACCGUGAGGGAAAGGCGAAAAGAACCCCGGCGAGGGGAGUGAAAAAGAACCUGAAACCGUGUACGUACAAGCAGUGGGAGCCUCUUAAUGGGGUGACUGCGUACCUUUUGUAUAAUGGGUCAGCGACUUAUAUUCUGUAGCAAGGUUAACCGAAUAGGGGAGCCGAAGGGAAACCGAGUCUUAACUGGGCGUUAAGUUGCAGGGUAUAGACCCGAAACCCGGUGAUCUAGCCAUGGGCAGGUUGAAGGUUGGGUAACACUAACUGGAGGACCGAACCGACUAAUGUUGAAAAAUUAGCGGAUGACUUGUGGCUGGGGGUGAAAGGCCAAUCAAACCGGGAGAUAGCUGGUUCUCCCCGAAAGCUAUUUAGGUAGCGCCUCGUGAAUUCAUCUCCGGGGGUAGAGCACUGUUUCGGCAAGGGGGUCAUCCCGACUUACCAACCCGAUGCAAACUGCGAAUACCGGAGAAUGUUAUCACGGGAGACACACGGCGGGUGCUAACGUCCGUCGUGAAGAGGGAAACAACCCAGACCGCCAGCUAAGGUCCCAAAGUCAUGGUUAAGUGGGAAACGAUGUGGGAAGGCCCAGACAGCCAGGAUGUUGGCUUAGAAGCAGCCAUCAUUUAAAGAAAGCGUAAUAGCUCACUGGUCGAGUCGGCCUGCGCGGAAGAUGUAACGGGGCUAAACCAUGCACCGAAGCUGCGGC
Molecule: ribosomal RNA, 867 nt
Filed under: Escherichia coli
Lineage: Bacteria; Pseudomonadati; Pseudomonadota; Gammaproteobacteria; Enterobacterales; Enterobacteriaceae
Description: partial 23S ribosomal RNA
Rfam family: Bacterial large subunit ribosomal RNA
Source: RNAcentral